RNAcentral lists this transfer RNA (71 nucleotides) under Cordylochernes scorpioides. RNAcentral describes it as "tRNA-Gly". The record is from RNAcentral. Lineage: Eukaryota; Metazoa; Arthropoda; Arachnida; Pseudoscorpiones; Chernetidae.
UGCAUCGGCCGGGAAUCGAACCCGGGCUGCCCGCGUGGCAGGCGAGCAUUCUACCACUAAGCCACCGAUGC